GACGCUGGCGGCGGGCCUAACACAUGCAAGUCGAACGAACUCGACCUUCGGGUCAUAUAGUGAGUGGCGAACGGGUGAGUAACACGUGAGAAACCUGCCCCGAAGACUGGAACAACCCGAGGAAACUCGGGCUAAUACCGGAUACCCCCAUCGGAUCGCAUGAUUUGAUGAGGAAAUGCUCCGGCGCUUCGGGAGGGUCUCGCGGCCUAUCAGCUAGUUGGUGAGGUAACGGCUCACCAAGGCAACGACGGGUAGCUGGUCUGAGAGGACGAUCAGCCACACUGGGACUGAGACACGGCCCAGACUCCUACGGGAGGCAGCAGUGGGGAAUAUUGCGCAAUGGGCGAAAGCCUGACGCAGCCACGCCGCGUGCGGGAUGAAGGCUCUAGGGUUGUAAACCGCUUUAGGCAGGGAAGAAAAUGACGGUACCUGCAGAAUAAGGUCCGGCCAACUACGUGCCAGCAGCCGCGGUAACACGUAGGGACCGAGCGUUGUCCGGAUUUAUUGGGCGUAAAGAGCUCGUAGGCGGUUCGGUAAGUCAGGUGUGAAAGCUCGAGGCUCAACCUCGAGAUGCCACCUGAUACUGCCGUGACUUGAGUCCGGUAGAGGAGUGUGGAAUUCCUGGUGUAGCGGUGAAAUGCGCAGAUAUCAGGAGGAACACCAAUUGCGAAGGCAGCACUCUGGGCCGGUACUGACGCUGAGGAGCGAAAGCGUGGGGAGCGAACAGGAUUAGAUACCCUGGUAGUCCACGCCGUAAACGUUGGGCACUAGGUGUGGGAUCGAACUAACCGAUUCCGUGCCGUAGCUAACGCAUUAAGUGCCCCGCCUGGGGAGUACGGCCGCAA
RNAcentral lists this ribosomal RNA (845 nucleotides) under uncultured Iamiaceae bacterium. RNAcentral's name for it is "bacterial SSU rRNA". It matches the Rfam family "Bacterial small subunit ribosomal RNA", at positions 32 to 891 of the family's 1533-position model. Lineage: Bacteria; Bacillati; Actinomycetota; Acidimicrobiia; Acidimicrobiales; Iamiaceae. The record is from RNAcentral.